This is a long non-coding RNA of Alosa sapidissima (American shad), 782 nucleotides long. RefSeq lists it as uncharacterized. The transcript has 3 exons. Lineage: Eukaryota; Metazoa; Chordata; Actinopteri; Clupeiformes; Clupeidae. The record is from RefSeq and is a predicted model, not a curated record.
UGGACAUUUAGGCCUAGUACUAUCACGUUGCGUCCGAGAACAAUGGCAAAACUUUCGGUUUUAAUUGUCUUCUUGUUCGGUUUCACAUCUGAGCAAGUCAUCAACCAGAAACCAGUGGCUGUGUCCAGGAGAAAGAGAACUGCGCUCAUAGACUGCGAGGUGGACCAGAAUUACUUUCCUUUGGAGUUCCAUACACUGCACUGGUACGUGGAAAAAGAUGGGAAUGUUCCUGUCCGACUCUUACAUUUCCCACAAGGCAAACACGAACCUAAAAGAGACGAUUGGGUUUCGAAACAAUUUGGCGCGUCUAAAAGUGGCCAGAAAUCAACUCUUAUAAUUGCCACUGAAGACACUGGCAACCAGGCAAAGUACUAUUGCGCAGUCUGGAGUGGACACGAUGAUUCUCUGACAGCAAAUACACUCACAAAAUUUGCAGGCGCUAUAACAGAGAGACCAAAGAGCUCACCUUAAUAUCAUGACAACGGUGUGUGCGAGUCCUUCACUUCUCCAAGUAACAUAUCAAGUCAGUACAAGACACUGCCUGGAAGUUACCCAACAAAACUUUCGAACGGAAACUUUUUUGCAUACAGGAACUUCUCGGUAUUUCGUGCAGGAGGGUCUCUAGUUUCAUUCUCUCAACAUGCUGAGAAUCAUGCCUCCCAGCACAUCCGUGGUGUUUUACACUGUGUUUAUAUCUGUAGCUAUGGGAGAUCUGAAACUGUACCAAGACCGAUUAUCAUGGGUCAAAAGCCGAGGCAAAAGUGUGUUCAUCAGCUGCGGAG